RNAcentral lists this long non-coding RNA (1199 nucleotides) under Homo sapiens (human). RNAcentral describes it as "non-protein coding lnc-XPO4-2:1". Lineage: Eukaryota; Metazoa; Chordata; Mammalia; Primates; Hominidae. The record is from RNAcentral.
GAAGCCAUCAGGUCAGGUGGGGAGUUUUUCCAGCUUCUGUUCUGGGGGUCUUGUGUGGAUGCCCAGGGACAAGCCAGGCAAGGAGGCUGCUUUUGCCCUCGCCCUGUGGCUGCCAGACUGACUGAUCCCGUUGGCAUCAGAUUCACACUGAAGAAACUGUGCUUUGUCCUGUGAAUAGAAAGCCAUGUCCAGAAGGCUCUAGUGUGUAUAACCCACUUUCCCAGGAAGCACUGCAAAAGAUAAAGGAUGUCAGGGACAGAAGAAGAAAAAGUAGAAAGUAUCAGAAAAUCUCUAAGAGUUGCCUAGUAGACACGUCAUACAAAAAGCCUAGUCUUGUUGCAGGUCUGUCUCAGUGCCUAGCUGACCCAGUGGUUUUAAAAGGACCAGAGUAUUUUGGGAAAUUGGAUGAAAUAAGUAGAGUUGCCAUCAAUAGUAGCACACUAUGUUCAGGCUAGCUGUUGUCCCCGUGCCCAUACUCACAUCAUCUCUAGCUCUCAGGGCCACACUGUGUGAAGACAACGUGUGGAGAUGGUGGAGCACUCAGGCAUUUCUAGGCUCAACAGAACCCUGCAGCUGAAGAUUAAACACCACCUGCAUCUACUCAACUCACAGGUCAGAAUGGCCGCUUCACAAAAGAAAAAUCGCUCGCAGCUGAACACCAAGAAUAUGAACAGCAGCUACUUCAAGAAUUCUAUACAUUAAAUCCCAAUUAUCUCCAUCUCUCCAUGGGUUUAGAUGAUAGGAAUAAGAUCCAAAUGAUACCACUGCAGAGCCCAACUGACAAAUGGCUUUGAUUCUCCCAGAGUAGGGAGGAAUGACAAUUUCCACAGACAUCUAACAGGGACAGACCUUCACCACCCACUGGUUUGCCCAAAUCCAGCCCAGUCAUUCCUGUCCGUUCAUCUGGUCACAGUGAACAAUUGCCUUCGGAAGGGGCAGGGGCAGAGUCACAGCUACUAUUCUUGGACAACCCAGCCCUGUCCUGGAUCCCCAUGUCAUCCAAGGACUGCCCCAUACCACCAGACCCAAGCACCUCCUCCAUCAGUCACUUGGCACUGUCAUUCUCAAGCCAUUGGACUUUGGUUUUUCUCAACAGCCAGAGGAUGUGCUGGGCUUUGAUGUCUUCGAUGCUGUUUGGAAAGCCUUAGCAGGCCUGACUGAGAUGGAGCUGCCAGGCCAGGCGUGAGCCUUCCCAUCCA